Molecule: ribosomal RNA, 567 nt
Filed under: Callistoctopus minor (long arm octopus)
Lineage: Eukaryota; Metazoa; Mollusca; Cephalopoda; Octopoda; Octopodidae
Description: partial 16S rRNA
Rfam family: Bacterial large subunit ribosomal RNA
Source: RNAcentral
AAAACAUGUCUCUUUGAGUAUUAUUAAUAGGGAGUUGGGCCUGCUCGGUGAGAAGAAAAAUUUAACAGCUGCGGUAUUAUAACUGUACUAAGGUAGCAUAAUAAUUUGCCUUAUAAAUUGAGGCUAGAAUGAAUGGUUUGACGAAAAUUAGGCUGUCUUUAUUUUAUUUAUUAGAAAUUAAUUUUUAUAGUGAAAAAGCUUGGAUAAUUUAAAGGGACGAGAAGACCCUAUUGAGCUUGAUUAUUAAUAUUUAAAUAUAAGGUAGAUUAUUUUAUUUAUGAGUAGUAUGUAAUAUAAAUUAAGUAUAUUUAAUGUUAGUUAAUUUUGAUUGGGGUGAUCAAGGAAUAAAAGUAGAAAUAACUUCCUUAAAGUUUUGUGAUUGUUUAUGGAUUAAUAAACCGAAAUUUUUUGCUUAUAAGAUAAGUUACCAUAGGGGUAACAGCGUAAUUUUUUUUGAGAGUUCUUAUUGAGAAAAGAGAUUGCGACCUCGAUGUUGGAUUAAAAUUACCUUAAGGUGUAGAGGCUUUAUUAGGUAAAUCUGUUCGAUUUUUAAAAUUUUACGUGAUC